AAGGGUCGUAGGAGAUGACUACGUUGAUAGGCUAUAGAUGUAAAGGCAGUAAUGUCAUAGUCGAGUAGUACUAAUAACCCGUAAGCUUAUGUAC
RNAcentral lists this ribosomal RNA (94 nucleotides) under Flavobacterium xanthum. Its description in RNAcentral is "23S rRNA. Bacterial LSU". It matches the Rfam family "Bacterial large subunit ribosomal RNA", at positions 2830 to 2925 of the family's 2925-position model. Lineage: Bacteria; Pseudomonadati; Bacteroidota; Flavobacteriia; Flavobacteriales; Flavobacteriaceae. RNAcentral also lists the same sequence under 1 other name. The record is from RNAcentral.